GUCAGGAUGGCCGAGUGGUCUAAGGCGCUGCGUUCAGGUCGUAGUCUCCCCUGGAGUCGUGGGUUCAAAUCCUAUUUCAGACA
Non-coding RNA from Danio rerio (zebrafish), 83 nucleotides. Lineage: Eukaryota; Metazoa; Chordata; Actinopteri; Cypriniformes; Danionidae. The record is from Rfam.